RNAcentral lists this non-coding RNA (24 nucleotides) under Cricetulus griseus (Chinese hamster). Lineage: Eukaryota; Metazoa; Chordata; Mammalia; Rodentia; Cricetidae. The record is from RNAcentral.
AUGCGAAGAAUGGACAAGACCUUG